AUGCUCUCGGCGGCCACGCUCCCGGCGGUGCACAACAUGCAGGCGGCGCUCGUCAAGGCCGGACUGGCCCGCCAGGUGCGCGUCACCGUGCCCCUCAACGCCGACGUCUACGAGUCGCUCGACGUCCGCCCCUCCUCGGGCGACUUCCGCCCGGACAUCACGGCCCUCAUGACCAGCCUCGUUCGCUUCCUCCUCGACAGCGGUGGCGUGCUGGCCAUCAACAUCUACCCCUUCCUCUCCAUGGACGCCGACGCCAACUUCCCGCGCGACUACGCCUUCUUCCCGGCCCCCGGCGCCAGCGUGCAGGACGGCAACGUGCUCUACACCAACGUCUUCGACGCCAACUACGACACCCUCGUCGCCGCGCUCGAGAAGCACGGCCUCGGGAACAUCACCGUCGUGGUGGGCGAGAUCGGAUGGCCCACCGACGGCGACGCCAACGCCAACGCCGCCGGAGCGCACAAGUUCAACCAGGGCCUCUUCGACCGCAUCGUCGCCGGCAAGGGCACCCCGCGCCGGCCCCAGAUGCCCGACGUCUACGUGUUCGCGCUGCUGGACAAGGACGCCAAGAGCGUCGACCCCGGCAACUUCGAGCGCCACUGGGGCGUCUUCAACUACGACGGCUCGCCCAAGUACGCGCUCCGGCUCGCCGGCGGCAAGGGCAUCGUGCCGGCCAAGGGCGUCAGGUACCUCUCCAAGCAGUGGUGCGUGCUCCGCCCCGACGCCAGCCCCACCGACCCGGCCAUCAUCGGCGCCGUCGGGUACGCGUGCCAGUACGCCGACUGCACCAGCCUCAGCCCCGGCUCCUCCUGCGGCGGCCUCGACGUCCGGGGCAACGUCUCCUACGCCUUCAACCAGUUCUUCCAGUCCGCCAGCCAGCAGAAGGGAUCCUGCGGCUUCAACAACCUCUCCGUGGUCACCACCACCAACCCGUCGCGGGGGACCUGCCGCUUCAAGAUCAUGAUCGACACCGGCCGGCACGACCUCACCCACCAGGACGACUCCGGCGCCGCCAGGGCCGCCGCCGCGUGGGGCGCCGUCAUCGCCGUGCUCGCAUUGCUCGCCAUCGUCGCACUCUGA
Molecule: ribosomal RNA, 1080 nt
Filed under: Triticum aestivum (bread wheat)
Lineage: Eukaryota; Viridiplantae; Streptophyta; Magnoliopsida; Poales; Poaceae
Description: partial small subunit ribosomal RNA
Source: RNAcentral